Molecule: transfer RNA, 76 nt
Filed under: Arsenophonus endosymbiont of Bemisia tabaci Asia II 3
Lineage: Bacteria; Pseudomonadati; Pseudomonadota; Gammaproteobacteria; Enterobacterales; Morganellaceae
Description: tRNA-Ala
Rfam family: tRNA
About the family: Transfer RNA (tRNA) molecules are approximately 80 nucleotides in length.
Source: RNAcentral
GGGGCUAUAGCUCAGCUGGGAGAGCGCUUGCAUGGCGUGCAAGAUGUCAGCGGUUCGAUCCCGCUUAGCUCCACCA